Long non-coding RNA from Pongo pygmaeus (Bornean orangutan), 13613 nucleotides. RefSeq lists it as uncharacterized. The transcript is spliced from 2 exons. NCBI's taxonomy places the organism in Eukaryota, Metazoa, Chordata, Mammalia, Primates, Hominidae. The record is from RefSeq and is a predicted model, not a curated record.
AUGAACAUUUUUUCAUGUCUGUUGGCUGCAUAAAUGUCUUCUUUUGAGAAGUGUCUGUUCAUAUCCUCUGCCCACUUUUUGAUGGUGUUGUUUGUUUUUUUCUUGUAAAUUUGUUUAAGUUCUUUGUAGAUUCUGGAUAUUAGCCCUUUGUCAGAUGGAUAGAUUGCAAAAAUUUUUUCCCAUUUUGUAGGUUGCCUGUUCACUGUGAUGAUAGUUUCUUUUGCUGUGCAGAAGCUCUUUAGUUUAAUUAGAUCCCAUUUGUCAAUUUUGGCUUUAGUUGCCAUUGCUUUUGGUGUUUUAGUCAUGAAGUCUUUGUCCAUGCCUAUGUCCUGAAUGGUAUUGCCUAGGUUUUCUUCUAGGGUUUUUAUGGUCUUAGGUGUUGCAUUUAAGUUUUUAAUCCAUCUUGAGUUAAUUUUUGUAUAAGGUGUAAGGAAGGGGUCCAGUUUCAGCUUUCUACAUGUGGCUAGCCAGUUUUCCCAGCACCAUUUCUUAAAUAGGGAAUCCUUUCCCCAUUGCUUGUUUUUGUCAGGUUUGUCAAAGAUCAGAUGGUUGUAGAUGUGUGGUGUUAUUUCUGAGGCCUCUGUUCUGUUUCAUUGGUCUAUAUAUCUGUUUUGGCAACAGUGCCAUGCUGUUUUGAUUGCUGUAGCCUUGUAGUAUAGUUUGAAGUCAGCUAGCAUGAUGCCUCCAGCUUUGUUCUUUUUGUUUAGGAUUGUCUUAGUUAUGUGGGCUCUUUUUUGGUUCCAUAUGAAAUUUAAAGUAGUUUUUUCCAAUUCUGUGAAGAAAGUCAGUGGUAAUUUGAUGGGGAUAGCAUUGAAUCUGUAAAUUACCUUGGGCAGUGUGGCCAUUUUCACGAUAUUGAUCCAUGAGCAUGGAAUGUUCUUCCAUUUGUUUGUGUCCUCUUUUAUUUCAUUGAGCAGUGGUUUGUAGUUCUCCUUGAAGAGGUCCUUCACAUCCCUUGUAAGUUGGAUUCCUAGGUAUUUUAUUCUCUUUGUAGUGUGAAUGGGAGUUCACUCAUGAUUUGGCUCUCUGUUUGUCUGUUCUUGAUGUAUAGGAAUGCUUGUGAUUUUUGCACAUUGAUUUUGUAUACUGAGACUUUGCUGAAGUUGCUUAUCAGCUUAAGGAGAUUUUGGGCUGAAGUUGCUUGUCAGCUUAAGGAGAUUUUGGGCUGAUUUAGAUAUACAAUCAUGUCAUCUGCAAACAGGGACAGUUUGACUGCCUCUUUUCCUAAUUGUGAAUACCCUUUAUUUCUUUCUCUUGCCUGAUUGCCCUGGCCAGAACUUCCAAUACUAUGUUGAAUAGGAGUGGUGAGAGAGGGCAUCCUUGUCUGGAGCCAGUUUUCAGAGGGAAUGCUUCCAGUUUUUGCCCAUUCGGUAUGAUAUUGGCUGUGGGUUUGUCAUAAAUAGCUCUUACAAUUUUGAGAUAUGUUCCAUCAAUAUAGUUUGUUGAGAGUUUUUAGCAUGAACGGCUGGUGAAUUUUGUCGAAGGCCUUUUUUGCAUCUAUUGAGAUAAUCAUGUGGUUUUUGUCACUGGUUUUGUUUAUGUGAGGGAUUACAUUUAUUGAUUUGCAUGUGUUGAACCAGCCUUGCAUCCCAGAGAUGAAGCCGACUUGAUCAUGGAGGAUAAACUUUCUGAUGUGCUGCUGGAUUCGGUUUGCCAGUAUUUUAUUGAGGAUUUUCGCAUUGAUCUUCAUCAGGGAUAUUGGCUUAAAAUUCUCUUUUUUUUGUUGUGUCUCUGCUGGCCUUUGGUAUCAGGAUGAUGCUGGCCUCAUAAAAUGAGUUAGGGAGGAUUCCCUCUUUUUCUAUUGAUUGGAAUAGUUUCAGAAGGAAUGGUACCAGCUCCUCUUUGUACCUCUGGUAGAGUUCGGCUGUGAAUCUGUCUGGUCCUGGACUUCUUUUGGUUGGUAGGCUAUUAAUUAUUGCCUCAAUUUCAGAACCUGUUAUUGGUCUAUUCAGAGAUUCAGCUUCUUCCUGGUUUAGUCUUGGGAGGGUGUAUGUAUACAGGAAUUUAUCCAUUUCUUCUAGAUUUUCUAGUUUAUUUGCAUAGAGGUGUUUAUAGUAUUCUCUGAUGGUAGUUUGUAUUUCUGUGGAAUUGGUGGUAAUAUCCACUUUAUCAUUUUUUAUUGCAUUUAUUUGAUUCUUCUCUCUUUUCUUUAUUAGUCCUGUUAGUGGUCUAUUUUGUUGAUCUUUUCAAAAACCCAGCUCCUGGAUUCAUUGAUGUUUUUGAAGGGUUUUUUGUGUCUCUGUCUCCUUCAGUUCUGCUCUGAUCUUAGUUAUUUCUUGUCUUCUGCUAGCUUUUGAAUUUGUUUGCACUUACUUCUCUAGUUCUUUUAAUUGUGAUGUUAGGGUGUCGAUUUUAGAUCUUUCCUCCUUUCUUUUAUGGGCAUUUAGUGGUAUAAACUUCCCUCUACAUACUGCUUUAAAUGUGUCCCUCAGAUUCUGGUACAUUGUGUCUUUGUUCUCAUUCGUUUCAAAGAACAUCUUUAUUUCUGCCUUCAUUUCAUUAUUUACCCAGUAGUCAUUCAGGAGCAGGUUGUUCAGUUUCCAUGUAGUUGUGCGGUUUUGAGUGAGUUUCUUAAUCCUGAGUUCUAAUUUGAUUGCACUGUGGUCUGAGAGACAGUUUGUUGUGGUUUCUGUUCUUUUACAUUUGCUGAGGAGUGUUUUACUUCCAAUUAGGUGGUCAAUUUUAGAAUAAGUGUGAUGUGGUGCUGAGAAAAGUGUAUAUUCUGUUGAUUUGGGGUGGAGAGUUCUGUAGAUGUCUAUUAGGUCUGCUUGGUCCAGAGCUGAGUUCAAGUCCUGGAUAUCCUUGUUAAUUUUCUGUCUCAAUCUGUCUAAUAUUGACAGUGGGGUGUUAAAGUCUCCCAUUAUUACUGUGUGGGAGUCUAAGUCUCUUUGUAGGUGUCUAAGAACUUGCUUUAUAAAUCUGGGUGCUCCUGUGUUGGGUGCAUAUAUAUUUAGGAUAGUUAGCUCUUCUUGUUGAGUUGAUCCCUUUACCAUUAUAUAAGGGUCUUCUUUGUCUCUUUUGAUCUUUGUUGGUUUAAAGUCUGUUUUAUCAGAGACCAGGUUUGCAACCCCUGCUCUUUUUUGCUUUCCAUUUGCUUGGUAGAUCUUCUUCCAUCCCUUUAUUUUGAGCUUAUGUGCAUCUCUGCACAUGAGAUGGGUCUCCUGAAUACAGCACACUGAUGGGUCUUGACUCUUUAUCCAAUUUGCCAGUCUGUGUCUUUUAAUUGGGGCAUUUAGCCCAUUUACAUUUAAAGUUAAUAUUGUUAUAUUUGAAUUUGAUCCUGUCGUGAUGAUGCUAGCUGGUUAUUUCGCCUGUUAAUUGAUGCAGUUUCUUCAUAGUGUCGAUGGUCUUUACAAUUUGGCAUGUUUUUGCAGUGGCUGGUACAGGUUGUUCCUUUCCAUGUUUAGUGCUUCCUUCAGUAGCUCUUGUAAGGCAGGCCUGGUGGUGACAAAAUCUCUCAGCAUUUGCUUGUCUAUAAUGUUUUUUCUUUCACCUUCUUUGUGAUGGUAUAUUUAGCCAAUAUCUGAUUGUUGACUACUUAGGUUGUUUUACAGUUUUCAUCAUCAUAUAAAAUGCUGCAGUGAAUAUCCUUGUCACAAAUUCUUGUGCAUUUCUGUAGCUCUUUCUUUAGGAUAAAUUCUUUGACAGAAUUUUGGAGCCAAAGUCUGAAUACAUUUUGCAGUCAUUUUUACAUAGUACUAAAUUGCUUUAUAGAAAAUUUGCACCAAAUUAUUCUUCUAUCCUCAUUGUCUAGGAGCAUUCAUUUCUUCUGUCUUUUAUAGUUCUUUUUAAUAUUUUCUAGUUUACUAGGUGGAUAAAAGCAUCUCACUGUUGUUUCAAUUUGCAUUUUAUAAUUACCAACAAGGUUUAGUUUUUGAAUAUAUCUUUUGCCAUUUUGCCAUUUAUAUUUUUUCUUAUGUAAUCUGGCCCCCUUGUGUUGUUUUUCUUUUCUUUUCUUUUUCUUUUUGUUCCUUACUGCUUUGUAAGAGCCUCUCAUAUAAAAUGUCAGCAGAGUCUCAGCAAAAAGCAGAUGGCAUGUUAAGGAGCAUUUAAUGGCAGGAUUGUUUGCAAAUUGUGUGCAUAAAGUUUAGGGAUCCCAACAAGGAGUAGUGCAGUAGCCCUGGGCUUGCAAAAGUGGGGGCCAGUUACCACCCCUAAGCCUGGCGAUGCUGAGAGAGAGGGCAAUUACUGGGACCACGAAAGGGCUCCUGACCAAAGUUCUCAUCUUCCUUAGAGGGAUACAGUCAACUCACAGAGACUCAGUAAAAAGGGAGACAGUGGCAUGAAUUCCCUAACCCAGGACUUUCCUUCCUCCCUUCCAUCUGUUGACGGUGCCUCCAACUGGCCAAACCGAACAGGGAGCCAGAGGGGCAGGGAACAGCUGCUGGACAUGUCUCGGCCUCUUGGGGCCUUAAACAGGGCAGGGAAGGGUGGAGAAUUGAUCUGGAGGCAAACAGAAGAUGACUAGACACCCAAAGAUAAUAAUUUCUUUUCUGGGAUAUGUAUUUUAAACUUAUUUCCUCAGUUUAUUUACUGUCAAUAUUGUUUAGAGUUUCAAUAAUUUUAUGUAGGCAUAUCAACCAAUUUUGAUGAUUUUUCCUUUGGUAUUCUUGUUUAAGAAAGCAUUCCUCAUCCCCAACAUUGUGUCAUUAUUCAACCAUAAAUCGAGUGUUUUCCCUCUAGAAUUUGAAGGAGAAAUAAUUAUUUAAAAGAUGCAAAUAAGUAGAAUUUCAUUUUAACAGCUUAAUUCUUUCUUUCCAAGGGAGUGUAAGUCCUUGUACUCCUUCUUUCCACUUUGUGUAAUUGGUUGGUUGAGUGUGCUGAUCUUGAAAGGUACAAACUGGGAAAGAGUUGUUUUUUUUUUCUCCAUGCUGUCUUUUUUUUUUUUUUUUUUUAAACACAGGAUGUUGUCUGUCACCCAGGCUGGAUUACAGUGGUGUAAUCACAGCUCACUGCAGCCUUGACUUCCCUAAGCUCAGGUGAUCCUCCCACCUCAGCCUCCUGAGUAGCUGGCACUACAGGCAGGUGCCACCACACUCAACUAAUUUUUGUGUUUUUUGUAGAGGUGGGGUUUUUUCCAUGUUGCCCUGGCUGGCCUUGAACUCCUGGGCUCAAGCAGUCUGCCCACCUUGGCCUCCCAAAGUGCUGGGAUUACAGGUGUGAGCCACCACGCCUGGACUCAGCGCUGUCUUAAACCCCCUUUGUUGACUCAGCCUUCUGCCAGUGAUGAGCUGGCUGGGACCAGCUGGUGAAAACCAAUUGUUAAAUAGACAGGAAUUUUACAAGCUGGUUGCGAAACCGUUUGCAGCUGAAAAUCAGCCAUGAUGGGAGAAUUUACACUAUGGGCAUCAACAAAUACUACGAACAGGGCUUCUCCCACCCACCGCCCCCCUCCCCCUGCUUCCAGUUGAGUUUACCUGCACACCACUGCUCUUACCCACUUCUUUUUGAGCACUUCCAGGAGAUAAUGGGGACAUGAGCUAUUCUUCUCUCUUCCACUUUGGUUUUUCUCUCCGCUUCUCCCAUCUCUUCCUAUUCCUGCUGGCUCCUGCAGGGGCACAGAGGUGGGGGGAUUGGAAGAAGAGGGGUUAAAAAUCUUUAAUAAUUUGUGUUAUGGUAGAAAGAGGGUUCGUAAGUGUUCUCUGUUAUGGCAGGUGUCCAUUUAUUGGCUGUUCGGCAUGUUUGGAGAAUAUGCCCAAGAUCCCCCUUACCAACUUUGAUCUGAGCAAGACAUUUUCCAGCUGAAUACUGGUGAAACCCCUUGGAGUUAACCUAUAUCCUCUUUCUAUCAGGAACCCCUUCAGCUAAGCAGGCAGCCACUUGCAACAGGGCCCUUUCAAACUAGCUCACACCAGGGCCCCACUAAUUUCCACAAUAUACACUUGACUCAUGGGAAGCCUCACACAUCCUUGCCCAGCCAAAAGGAGUGAAUGCACUGACCCAGAGGCUGCCCUUCAUCCUUCCAGGCACUGCAGCAGCUCCAGCCUCCAUCUACCUUCGGUCACCUCUGGGCGAGAGGCACCUUCAACCUCUACCUUCCCACAUGGCAGGCAUGCAAGGCAGGCUCUCCGGAAAACUGUCUUCCCCAACUCCAACAGCAGCUGGAUGACCUGUGAGUUUUAGGCACUCAGCAAGUGUCCAGCUGAGAAGUAAAAUGUCAGUCUCUUCCUUUUGUAAAUCUCCGCAAUCUCCCCAAGAGGGGUUCUCUUGGAGCCUCUCACCGGGCUUAGGGGAUGCACCCUUUGAGAGAGGGGAAACCCAAUAGCACAUUGACUCUUGUAAAUUUCCUUCAGGGCAUCUCCCCUUCAGUGACUCUCCAGCCUUCUCUUCUUAGCCUGGAGGUGGGUCACCACUUCUUACCAAGUCCUUCACGGCUACUCUAGGAGCUUUUCCUCAGAAUAUGGGGUAACUGUCAUCUGUUGCCUCAACAAUUCCCAUUCCAUAAACUGACACAUCAAGGACCUUGAAAAGACAAUCCUGCUCCCAACCUGAUCACAUUGAAGACAGGCUGCAAUUGCAAGGCCUCUGCAGAUUGUUUAUACUGCUAAAGGGUGGUGACCCCUGAAAAAUAGUUCUUUGCUCAGCAGAGCACCUUGAUGAGUGUUUGGAUAUGAAAAAAAAUGCCUAAGGCCAGGCACGGUGGCUCAUGCCUGUAAUCCCAGCACUUUGGAAGGCCAAGGCAGGCAGAUCACCUGAGCUCGGGAGUUUGAGACCAGCCUGGGCAAUGUGGCAAAACCCCAUCUCUACCAAAAAAUAGAAAAAAUUAGUUGAGUGUGGUGGUGCAUGCCUGUGGUCUCAGCUACUCAGGAGGCCGUGGUGGGAGAAUUGCUUAAACCUGGGAGGUGAAGGUUGCAGUGAGCCAAGGUUGCACCACUGCUCUUCAGCCUGGGUGACAGAGUGAGACCCCAUCUCUAAAUUAAUUAAUUAAUUGAAAGAAAAUAAAUGCCUGGGACAAAUCUUUUUAUUGAUGAGAGAACAACAAUUCUAUACCUGAUAAGGCAAGGAGAAUUCUGAUGUUCUAGUAGCAGCCUGACCCAGGAAUUUACUUAAGGUGUGUGUAGGCGAAUGGGAGGGUAGAAGAACUUCUGGGAAAUGAUGACUAAUAUUCUAUUUGAAGCUGUUGCUAUGCCAUAUUCCUAAAUCUUCAGCAAAAUUCUGCUAUAAAUAACUUCCUUGUGUUUGUGUAAUUUGAGGAAAUCAAGAAGAAAAGAGGCAAUCUGGGAUGGUGAAUUUUAUGUGUCCACUUGACUGGGCCAGGGGCUACCUGGAGAUGUAGUCAAAUAUGAUACUGGGAGUUUCAGUGAGAAUGUUUCUAAAUGAGAUUGACAUUGGAAUUGGUAGACUGGGUAAAGCAGAUGGCCCUCCCUAAUAUGGGGGGGUGGCGCUUCAUCCAACCAGUGGAAGGCCUGAAUAGAACAAAAAGGUUGAGUAAGAGAGAGUUCCUUCUGCCUGACAGCCUUUGAGCUGAGACAUUGCUUUUUGGGCUGAGCUGAAACAUUGGCUCCUUCUGGGUCUCAGCGCCUGCUAGUCUUCAGACUGGAGCUACACCGUCAGCUCUCCUGUGUCUCAGGCUUGUAGACUGCCAGUCUUGGUCUCUGUAAUUGCAUGAGCCAAUUUCGUGUGUGUGUGUGUGUGUGUGUCUGCGUGUCUGCGUGUGUCUGUGUGUUUUGCAGUGGAUGGGGAUUGCUGAGUUUCUUCCAAUCAUGGGAGCCUAAGCAAGUUCAGCUAAAUAUGAAGAGAGGAAAGGUGGUCUCUAAAAACUGACCACACUCAAGCAGCCAAUGUUUACAGUGGUAAGCCUGUAGGAAACAAAUAAUUUAAUUUUGUUUUCUUAGCAGAACCUGAAGGUCUUUCAUUUUUAGCUGGGAAACCUAGGUUGGUUACAUACUGUUACUGCUGUAGUGGCUGGACUCCUCUUUACCCAGGUGCUGUGUGGUCAUUUUCAUGUCAUCUUUCUGUCCUCUUUUUAUGGAGACUCUAUUUUGUUUGUUUUUUUUUUCUUCUGCAGUGGUAGGGAGAUGUCUCAUUUUUAAAUGCUAUUCAUUAUCAUCAUUAGUUUUUGUUUUCCUUCUUAAACCUAUAAUUAUAACUCUGUUAAUGUCUAAAACAACAUGAGACAAUUUCCUCCCACAAGAGAAGAUGAAGAAACUGAGCAUGGUGGUUCAUAUCUAUAAUCCCAGCACUUUGGGAGGCUGAGAUAGGAGAACUGCUUGAGCUCAGGAAUUUGAGAGCAGCCUGGGCUACACAGUGAGACCCCAUCUCUACAAAAUAAAUAAAUAAAUAAAUAGCUGGGCAUGGUAGCAUGAGCCUGUAGUCCCAACUACUCAGGGGGUGAGGUAGGAGGAUCCCUUGAGCCUGGGAGGUCGAGGCCACAGUGAGCUAGGAUCAUGCUUCUGCACUCCAGCCUGGGUAACAAAACGAAACCCUCUGUCUCAAACAAAAAAAAGAAACAGAGAGAGAGAGAGAGAAGAUGAAGAGCUUAACACAGCCACCCGCUCUGCAUGCUCCCUUCUUGUAUCUUUUGUGCUUAUUAUUACCAUAUAUCCCGGGUUUGUAAAACCCAACUUUCCUUUGUAAAUAUUAACAAUUGGCUAUCUCAAAAUUGCUUUUGGCUUUGCACCGAAUUCUGUGUUUAUAUUUAUAAAACUUAUUGCAAUAUCUUUGUGGUUUUAGGGUUGGCUGCUGGCUUUUUUUUCCUGUUCCCCUUACCCCAAUUUUAAAUUCUUGAUUUUGUUUCUCUGUCUGAUUUAGAGAAUACCUUAGAGUAAUGUUUUCUGGAAGAGCACCCAAGUGCUACUCUUUCUAAGCCUUUGUGUGUCCGAGAACUGUUUUCUUUUGCUGUCACCAUGAAUAACACCUAAGCCCAACUUUUCUGUAGACAUGUUCCUUGUCUUCAGUAAUUAGUGUGUGGGGACCAGGGGAAGAAAGAAGGAAUCUUGCAGUCGAGGGGAGCAGUUGGACGCCUUCUGAUUCUUAGCCCAGAGCUCUCUGUCCACCACACUUCAUGUCAUCAUAGCUGGGCAGCCUUGUAUAAAAUCCUUUCUAAACCGGCUGCCUAGGCUCUUAGGGUCUUUUUUAUUUUAUUUUAUUAUUAUUUUUUUAGACAGGAUCUCCCUCUGUCACCCAGGCUGGAGUGUAGUGGUGCGAUCUCGGCUCACCCCAGACGCUACCUUCCAGGCUCAAGUGAUCCUCCCACCUCAGCCUGCUGAGUAGCUGGGACCACAGGCAUGCACCACCACACCUGGGUAAUUUAUGUAUUUUUUGUAGAGAUGAGGUUUUGCCAUGUUGCCAGUCUGGUCUCGAACUCCUGGGCUUAAGUAAUCCUCUUGCUUCGGCCUCCCAAAGUGUUGGGAUUACAGGCGUGAGCCACUGUGCCUGGUCUCUUAGAGACUCCUGAAACCACACUUCUCAGCUGGGCGCAGUGGCUCACACCUGUAAUCCCAGCACUUUGGGAGGCCUAGGCGGGUGGAUCGCCUGAGGCAAGGAGUUUGAGACUAGCCUGGCCAACAUGGUGAAACCCCGUCUCUACUAAAAAUACAAAAAAUUAGCCAGGCGUGGUGGCUCAGGCCUGUAAUCCCAGCUACUCAGGAGGCUAAGGCAGGAGAAUCACUUGAACCUGGGGGGUGGAGGUUGCAGGGAGCCGAGAUUACAUCACUUCACCCCAGCCUGGGCUAAAGAGACUGUCUCUCUCACACACACACACACACACACACACACACACACACACACACAAACACACACUUCUCAAACUUUACUGUGCAAACAACUACCCUGGGUCCCUUCUUAAAAUGCAGAUUCUGAUUCAGCUGAUCUGGGAGAGCCUGAGAUUGGGCAUUUCUAACCAGCUCCUGGUUAUACUCCUGGGUGGUGCUGAAUUUUUUUUUUUUUUUUCUAGUAGAGACAAGCUCUCGCUAUGUUGCCCAGGCUGGUUUUGAAUUCCUGGGCUCAAGCGAUUCACCUGCCUCAGCCUCCCAAAGUGCUGGGGCUACAGGUGUGAACCACCUCCCCCAGCUGAUGCUGAUACUGCUGAUGUCAUUGGCCUAUGGACCACGCUGAGUAGCAGGCUUUAGAGCAUAGGCGUCCAAUCUUUUGGCUUCCCUGGGCCACAUUGGAAGGGGAAUUGUCUUGGGCCAUACCUAAAAUACACUAACACUAACGAUAGCUGAUGAGCUUUUAAAAAAUGCAAAAAAAUCUCAUAAUAUUUUAAGAAAGUUUACAAAGUAGUGUUGGGCUGCAUUCAAAGCCAUCCAGGGCUGCAUGUAGCCCACUGGCUGUGGGUUAGAGGAGCUUGCUUUAUAGCUUUCAAAGCUGAGUCAUGCAUGUUGUUGAUUCUGUUUGAUGCUCCUGAUUGUUUUCUGUGAGGGAGGGCAGUUCCUGGGACAAUGAACUCCUCCCUCCAUCCCCUUCCCCAACCCUCACCAUUACCUCUUUCUGCUCCCCUUCUCACCCCAACCCAGCCCUGAGGACAUGAGGGCACUGCCAGGUGCCUGUGGACUUGAUCCUCCCAGGAUUAAGCCCUUACCACCACCCACAUCCUACUCCUUUCCCUGCCAUUGAGAAAACCUCUGCCGCCUACCUAGCCCCCAGGCUAAAACAGCUAGGAUGGGGUCAAAGGGCUCAGGAUUUUGGCUUCAGUACUGGAGGCAGGAGGGUUGCGCCAGGGUCGGCUUUUAUGCCUUUGUUCAACACAGCAAGCACACAUUACCCAACAGAACUCUGCCAGAUAUGGGAAAACCUGUGGCCUGUGCUCUGCAGGAGGCUACAGUUUGGGGGAAGGGGUGAAUGACAGCCUGGGACAGGGGGUGCAAUAUCAAGGCACUGGGCCCAGGAGAGGAAGGAGAAAGCUGCCAGGCAUGGGUCAGAGAAGGCUUUGUGUGGAGCUACACCCUGGAACAUGAGUAGACGUGAGCCAAACCGAGAGGAGAGAGGGCAGGGCGGGUCAGGUCAUCCACCAUGUUAUGAGGACUCUAAGAUCCUUGAGCCAGUGGGAGGGGAUGAGGAUUAGGGCUCAUCUGGGGAUUGGGGAUGAGGAAGGAAUGGGUGACCAGACUGGAGAUGCAGGCAUAUGCCACCUCAGGGACUGCCUGUGUGCCCAACUUAGCAUACCCUGUGUGCCUGUGGGUAUGGGAACAAAAUUCUCCCAAACGCCUGCUUCCGGCUUUGUGCCGUUGCGUUUUCUUUAGGCAGAUGUUGUUAGCUGUCACUGCACUGACCUCUAAGGCCACCCCAGCCUCCAUGAGUGAAUGCCCACGCCUUCACCCCUCUAGUCUGUGGGGAGGAACCCCACCCCCUUUCCUCCAGCAACUCCUACACGUCGCCUCCAGGCCUUUCCAGCACCAUUCCCUCACCAGGAAUGUUCUUUGUCGUUCUUCACUUAGUUCAUUCCUAUACAUUCUGCAAAACUUCCUCUGCCAUGCUUUUCUGACCUGUCCCCUCCCAGGCUGGUGAGGGAGAGCAGAUCAUCCUGUCUGUCUCCCUGCGGAUGGGAACGGGAGGUGCCCACUGGUCACCUAAUGCAUUGCACAGUGACUACCUGUGGGAUCUGGUGAUUAUUGCAGGGACAAAUGUUGAAUGACCCUGAAGUGCCUGCCUGUCCCUCCACCCCAACCUCUCUGUGGCUUCUUUUGCUGUGCGUCUAGCUGGGUGCAGUGUCCCAUUGCUCGAUGGUUCCUCGUUGGCGUCUGCUUUCCUAGUCCUCCCUGGAUGCCUCUUCUAUUGCACCUACUGAAUCAGUGGGCUGUGCUCUCUUUCACGCAGUGACAUGUCUGGCUGAGAAGUCACUAGUAACCCCCCAACCCCUAUCAUCACAGCCAGUGGGCCCUAAAGCUGGCCCUGUGUUUGGCCCAACCUUCCACUUUGCCUCUCAUGACUGAGCCUUGAUUUAUGCCCAGGUGUCCUCAAGCCCACACCCUGAUAGCUGCCCCUCUGUCAGACUGUGCCUCUUAUAAAAGGCCCUUCUCUUAUCCAUCUCUGACUCUCAGGCCAACACCUGUCCUACUUCCACUCACUGAGCUUCCCUGACCAAUCCAGGCGAUGAUCACUCCCUGCCCUCGGAACCCAGCCACACCACUCACUGGGCAGACCCCUGAGCCCCUUCCAGUGCUGCCUGAGGUGCCCUCUACCUGUGCCUGCCUCUCUUGUCUGCCAGUUUGAUUUGGACCUGUUUUUCCCACCUCAACCCCCAUGCUCUUGUCAAACAUGUGUUUGGCCUCUAGCCAAACAGGGCCUGGGAGGAAAAGAGAGUCCUACUUCUGCCUGGCUUCCCCAUCGGGGAGGGGAGUUGAAGUGACAGCCUCCUGACGGCUUAGAAAUGUGGAGGACGCAGCAUGUUCUGGACAUGGCCGACCAUAUGAAUGAUAUCUUCUCUUUCUUUGAACCAUCUCCACCUGCUCAUAUGGACACCCCGCCUUGGGGCAGGGCAAGGUAAGAUCUUGACAUAUGACUAGCUCUUGAGAAUAAGGCCACAGAAGUAAGGCGGACACAUGGGGUGAUUUCAUCAGCCUUAUUAUCCUUAGAUAACUGGUUAUCUUAGGUUAUCCGUAGAUAAGUUAUUAUCCCUAGAUAAAAUGAAGCCCAUUUUAAUAGAAAAUGAAACAAACAGACAAGAUGAUGACAUCCUUUGUAUGUUUACUAUAAUACAGCAAAAUUUUCCAGACCAGAGCCAAUUUCCUCGGCUCUAGGUACACCCCUUCCAAGCAAUGCAAAGGACAUCUCCAAUCAUGACAUUUAAGAGAAUUCUUUAUUUCUCUGACAGUGACUUCUUGAAGUGCACAUAUAAUAAAUAAAUAGAAAAUAUGUCUUUGUUCAUGGUGAUGCCUACAAGAAAUGUUUACAUACCAACACUCUAUACAUCUAACUCCCGAAAAAGGACCAGCUAUUUCGGCAACAGAAAAAAGACAAGCAUUUCAGAGGAGCGUUGCUUUCCUUAAAGACCUAACUCACUUAAGUCUUACAAACAGAAAUAACAAGGAGGACAAUUUUCUAAGCAAUAAGAAAAUUUGUGCUACCAAGAAAAUGCCUAGAUAUUGGCUCUUGGUGAAUGGUUUAGGAAAGAAAGUUUUAUGUACAGAUCCGGUACUGUGAAACAUAUGUACAACUCUGAGAACUUUCAAAUAGAUAUAUUUUUUAAAUGAACUGAGCCAAAGACAUUCAACAUUCCUGGCCACCUGAAAGUGAUCACAUCCUAAGUGGUUCACAGUGUGAGACCCUUGCAUUAAAAGAGUGAAAACUCAACAAAACCGUGGACAAGAAGGACAUGAGGUCAUUUUAACUCUCCUCUCCAUCACCGCUAAUCUCCCUGGAAGAAGUCCUUCCUGUGACUCUGGCCUUUGAAGCAGCCAUAUCUUUAAAAGCAGAGCCCUAUGGUCCCCUCCCAGCAGCUGAAAGAUGUUUGGUGGGAAAGACCUCCCUGGCAGUUGGCUCCCACCUGGGGAAUGGACUCUCGGACCGAGUCUCAUGGGUGCAGUUGGGUGGAGGGAGCCAGGCAGGCCCCUUUGAAGGAAAGAGUUUGUGGUUGGGGCAGGAAAGGGGAUAAACAUAGUUCAUCACAAGACCCAGGGAGACCCCAGUGCCUCGUGCAAGAUUAUAAACCACAGAUAGAGUUCUCCCUCUUA